CCGGCGCACGGGUGAGUAACGCGUAUGCAACUUGCCUAUCAGGAGGGGAUAACCCGGCGAAAGUCGGACUAGUACCGCAUGAAGCAGGGGCCCCGCAUGGGGAUAUUUGCUAAAGAUUCAUCGCUGAUAGAUAGGCAUGCGUUCCAUUAGGCAGUUGGCGGGGUAACGGCCCACCAAACCGACGAUGGAUAGGGGUUCUGAGAGGAAGGUCCCCCACAUUGGACUGAGACACGGCCAA
This 238-nucleotide ribosomal RNA is filed under the name uncultured bacterium. RNAcentral's name for it is "partial 16S ribosomal RNA". It matches the Rfam family "Bacterial small subunit ribosomal RNA", at positions 95 to 334 of the family's 1533-position model. The record is from RNAcentral.